UGAAUACGAGACGCUACGGCGUCGAAGCAGUCUAUGUCAGACUUCCAAGAAAAGCUCGCAAUGUCAUAAACAAAUAAUGCCUGUACCAUAACCGACACAGGUGGGUAGGUAGAGUAUACUAAGGGGCGCGAGAUAACUCUCUCUAAGGAACUCGGCAAAAUGGCUCCGUAACUUCGGGAGAAGGAGUGCCUUAUUUAUAAGGUUGCAAUAACAAGAUCCAAGCAACUGUUUAUCAAAAACACAGGUCUCCGCUAAGUCGUAAGACGAUGUAUGGGGGCUGACGCCUGCCCAGUGCCAGAAGGUUAAAGAAGUUGGUUAGCAUUCGCGAAGCUGAUAACUGAAGCCCUGGUGAACGGCGGCCGUAACUAUAACGGUCCUAAGGUAGCGAAAUUCCUUGUCGGGUAAGUUCCGACCCGCACGAAAGGCGUAAUGAUUUGGAUACUGUCUCGGAGAGGGGCUCGGUGAAAUAGACUUGUCUGUGAAGAUGCGGACUACCUGCACCUGGACAGAAAGACCCUAUGAAGCUUUACUGUAACUUGAAAUUGAAAUUGGACUUUAUUUGCGCAGCAUAGGUGGGAGGCGUUGAGAGUAUUCUUGCGGGAAUAUUGGAGCCAUCAGUGAGAUACCACUCUUGUAAUGUUAGAUUUCUAACUUUGUAUCAUUAUCUGGUCAAAGAACAGUUUCAGGCGGGCAGUUUGACUGGGGCGGUCGCCUCCCAAACGGUAACGGAGGCGUACAAAGGUUUCCUCUGAACGGGUAGAAAUCGUAUCUAGAGUGUAAAGGCAUAAGGAAGCUUGACUGUGAGACCUACAAGUCGAGCAGGGACGAAAGUCGGUCUUAGUGAUCUGACGGUGCUGAGUGGAAAGGCCGUCACUCAACGGAUAAAAGUUACUCUAAGGAUAACAGGCUGAUCUCCCCCAAGAGCUCACAUCGACGGGGAGGUUUGGCACCUCGAUGUCGGCUCAUCGCAUCCUGGGGCGGUAGUACGUCCCAAGGGUUGGGCUGUUCGCCCAUGAAAGCGGUACGCGAGCUGGGUUCAGAACGUCGUGAGACAGUUCGGUCCAUAUCCGGUGUAGGCGUUAGAAUAUUGAGAGGAGCCUUCUUUAGUACGAGAGGACCGAGAAGGACAUACCUCUGGUGUACCAGUUAUCGUGCCAACGGUAAACGCUGGGUAGCUAUGUAUGGAGAGGAUAACCGCUGAAAGCAUCUAAGUGGGAAGCCCACCUCAAGAUAAGUAUUCUCAUA
This 1245-nucleotide ribosomal RNA is filed under the name metagenome. Its description in RNAcentral is "bacterial LSU rRNA". It matches the Rfam family "Bacterial large subunit ribosomal RNA", at positions 1564 to 2818 of the family's 2925-position model. The record is from RNAcentral.